AUUGAACGCUGGCGGAAUGCUUUACACAUGCAAGUCGGGCGGCAGCACGGGGGCAACCCUGGCGGCGAGCGGCGAACGGGUGAGUAACACAUCGGAACGUACCCUGUCGUGGGGGAUAACGAAUCGAAAGAUUCGCUAAUACCGCAUACGACCUGAGGGUGAAAGCGGGGGAUCGCAAGACCUCGCGCGAGAGGAGCGGCCGAUGGCGGAUUAGCUAGUUGGUGGGGUAAAGGCCCACCAAGGCGACGAUCCCGUAGCGGGUCUGAGAGGACGGCCCGCCACACUGGGACUGAGACACGGCCCAGACUCCUACGGGAGGCAGCAGUGGGGAAUUUUGGACAAUGGGGGCAACCCUGAUCCAGCCAUUCCGCGUGAGUGAAGAAGG
This 385-nucleotide ribosomal RNA is filed under the name uncultured bacterium. Its description in RNAcentral is "bacterial SSU rRNA". It matches the Rfam family "Bacterial small subunit ribosomal RNA", at positions 29 to 414 of the family's 1533-position model. The record is from RNAcentral.